GUGCACGCUGGCGGCAGGCCUAACACCUGCAAGUCGAACGGCAGCACAAGAGAGCUUGCUCUCUGGGUGGCGAGUGGCGGACGGGUGAGGAAUGCAUCGGAAUCUGCCCAUUUGUGGGGGAUAACCUCGGGAAACCGGGACUAAUACCGCAUACGACCUACGGGUGAAAGCAGGGGAUCUUCGGACCUUGCGCAGAUGGAUGAGCCGAUGCCGGAUUAGCUAGUUGGAGGGGUAAAGGCCCACCAAGGCGACGAUCCGUAGCUGGUCUGAGAGGAUGAUCAGCCACACUGGGACUGAGACACGGCCCAGACUCCUACGGGAGGCAGCAGUGGGGAAUAUUGGACAAUGGGCGCAAGCCUGAUCCAGCCAUGCCGCGUGUGUGAAGAAGGCCUUCGGGUUGUAAAGCACUUUUGUUGGGAAAGAAAAGCAGCCGGUUAAUACCCGGUUGUCAUGACGGUACCCAAAGAAUAAGCACCGGCUAACUUCGUG
RNAcentral lists this ribosomal RNA (489 nucleotides) under uncultured bacterium. Its description in RNAcentral is "partial 16S ribosomal RNA". It matches the Rfam family "Bacterial small subunit ribosomal RNA", at positions 29 to 507 of the family's 1533-position model. The record is from RNAcentral.